AAACACAACAUAAAUGCAUAAGAACUAGCUAACUAAGGUGCAUAAAUAUGCUCCUAUCAAAUUCCCCCACACUUUUUGCUAGUCCUCGAGCAAAACAACGAAACAAAACAUGACCUAAACCUUCCAACAAUCGCCUCAGGGAUUUCCAAUGGUACAUGACACGCCAAAGAUCACUACUCACAUAGAUUUUAGCCAUCUUUACACUUAAGCACAUACUGAAUCAUAGUCAUCACUUACUAGCUCACAGUUAAUCAAUUAAAACAAUGUUUGAAUGUAGUAACAUGCCUUAGAGAAUCCCUCAAUUCCUCACUAGAUAUACACUCAUUUUUCACUUUAGAUUUUCUGACUACACACUCUACACUAGUUAUAUGUGAGAAGAUUGAUGUAAAUAUGAAAACUAAUGCUCACAUAUGUUAUGACAAUAAAAGCAAUUUCUGGAAUUAUGAAUGUAUGUAUAUGAUCUCAUGAAUGGAAUGCUACUACUUAGAUGCGAGAACCAGGGAUAUCAUAUGCUCAUACCAAUUCCAAACUCCACAUAUUGAAACACAUAACAAUCAAGAUAGAAGCAAAGGGUUGUAACGGGGCUAAGGUAUUGGCUAACAAAGGAAGGUAAGGAUAAACAAACAUUCUUAAAGAAUAAUAAGCAAAGUAAUGAAAUUUACACUUAGAAUUCACUUUUGCAUGCAAAAAUCAAUGUUUAAACCCAAGGGGAAUACUCAUGCAAUACUUAGGGUCUAAUUCAACUUUUUGGACCCUUGCUUCAACAACCAAUAACUUAGAGCUCAUUUUAUGCUCUUUCAACUCCUUUUCAUACUUUUCUCACUUUUCUCUUUUUUUCUUUCUUUUUCUACGAAUUUUCUUUCUUUUUUUUUUCUUUUUCUUUUGCUAACCCGUGCCCUCCUUACUUCUUUUGGCACACAACUUUCCUUUCCCCCACACUUAGUUUUCUGCACAACAUUGAUCAAAAAGAAUUCCCUCUAAGUUAUGCUUUAUUAUCCCUUAAGAACAAGGGUAUGGAUAGUCCUAAUCUAGGCUAGGUAAGGAUAAUGUGGCUAACAACAAAAAUAGGCUAAACAAGGCUCAAAGGGGUUAAUCCUAUAAAACAAUAUGCAUGGGUUGACGGCUUUUUGGCUCUGGUGAUAACUACUAAACAACUUCAUCUUGUUAGUUAUGCUAAUCAAUUUUUAUGCUUUGAAUGAAAUAGGUAUGAGUUCUAAUAUUUGGAUCUAUAAUGAUGACACGCCUUCUAAGUAGCAACCAAGCAAAGAAUGAUGAGAUCAUGCAACGACUUUAGAAAACAACAAAUUCACAGAUUAUUAACUCUCCAAAUAAACGUUUAGGCUCAAGUCUCACAGGGUUGUAGCAUUAGUUUGAGUUCCUUCCUUCAAGCAUGUUACAAAAACUGAUUUUUUUCCUUUUUGAUUACAUGUGAAUUCAUAAGUUAUAACCACAACCAAGCAUAAACCAAAGAGUAAAUCAAACGUCCAUCCAUGUUUAUAACUCUCUUUAACAGUCAUGCAAUUAAAAACCGAAUCCUCAUCAUUGUGUUGGAAGGUACUCUACGACACAAACAAACAAAAACAACUUUAAAACGACUCUUUUUUUUUUUGGGUUUUGUGCAAAACUUUUUCUAUUUUUUUCUUGAAUUUUCGGAUUUUCUGGUAAAACCACAUCAAAACACAUCAAAACUUUCUAAAAAACACUUAAAAACAACCUUUGAAAUGUUAGGUGGUAAAACCCUACGAAUUUUGACAUAAAAACACUUUGUUUACCCCCCCACACUUAAACCAAACAUUGUCCUCAAUGUUUCAAACAUAGACUCACACAAAAGCACGCAAAUAACACAACUAGCAAACAUGACAAAUAUGGCAAAGUAAACGCAAUAAAGAGUAGGGUUUAGAAACGCAAAUCUGGUUGUGAUGCCGGAGCUUCUGAUAGGAGCAUAUUUAUGCGCCUUAGUUAGCUAGUUCUUAUGCAUUUUCGCUAUGUUUUCUUCGUUAGAGUAGUCUUUUGAGCUACUUUCAUGUGUUUUCAGGUUCAAAGGGGCAUAAUACAUAAAAGAUGGCAAAAUGGAGCAUGUUAGAGCAAAAGUGAGCUUGGAUUGAAAAGUACAUGCUUGGAGCACAAGGAAUGGACGAGUUUGAAGGUCAAGGGAGCUUAAGAAAUGAAGAAAUGAAAGUGAAGAACAAAGAAUUCAGAAUUAGAAACCAAAGUUUCUAAAGUUGGAAGUUUCUAUUCUCGGAGGUUUCCAUUUGUGAGAGUUUCUAUUCUUGGCUUUGGGCUUCUAGAUGACCCAUCCUUACCUCUUGGACAAGGCCGCACCUUCCUAGCCCAAUUCAUCUUGGAUCCUCACUUAAUGCCGCACCUAAACCCUAGCCCAUUGCAUAUUUCUGACUUCUAAGCCUUUGCCGCACCUAGGCCCCAAAAUAUCUGAUUUCCUUGCCUUGCAAGGCUUUCUAGAAGGCCUAUCCACACUCCCACCAAAUCUGCCGCACCCUAGCCCUUUUCCCAUGCAAUUCCUAUUGUGUUAACCUAAUUUCUGGUGGAUUUGGGUUUCUAGAAACCCUAAUCUGAUUGCUAGGGUUUUUAAGUGCCUAUAUAUAUUCAUUCUAACCCUUUUGGCCGAACUACCACUCCCCAUCUAAUUCAUUCACGCCAAAAACCCUAGUUACAUCCUUGCCGCAGCCUUUCACCCUAAAACUUCCAUAUUUCUGAUUUCUACACCAUUGCCGUGCCUCCCUAAUCCUUUUAACCCCUUCUACCCUCUUCCAUAACCAUCCAUCCACCACCUUGCGCAGCCACCAAAGGAGGAGAAAGAAGGAGUGUCGUGCAGUCCAAAGGAGGAAGACACCUUGCACAUGCAAUCUGCCAUUAGUGGAGUGUUUGGAGUUCUUUCUUUCUUUGUUUCUGUUUUCAUGUUUAAUUUAAAUUGUUGUUCAAUUAUGUUAGACAUGUGGAACUAAUUUCUUUAUAGUUAGAGGUGAAUUUGAAGCCAUGGACAUAUGUUUUAUAUGAUUUGAUUUCUUCCAAUUAUGAUUUCAGAAAUUGUGAAUGUGAUUUACUGAUGUGAAAAUUAAGUUGACACACAAAUUAAACCCUCUUUUUGUCAAAUUGUAGCAAAGAUGUAAGUAGGGAUCGUUCUAGACCGGGGAUUAGGAGGGAUUGCUAAACGCUUGGAAACUGACUUAAACACUCAAAAACAAAGUUAAAAACACUAAACUAGACUCAAAGAAUGCAAAACUAAAAGUUAAAACACUUAAACAAACCUAAAAACCAAAACAGCAACUAGAAGGCUCAAAACUGCCUAAAAACCACUUUCUGGGCAGUUUUGAGCACCUACACUAAUUUGGACGAAAUUUGAUGAAAACUUGAAUCAAAAUACUUAGAAACACAAAUCAAAACACUUUCUAACUAAUCUAAGACUUCAAAUUAAAGGGGGAUUUUGUUUUGACGAAAAUUAAACUAAAGAAAACAGAUUGGAAAUAGGGCAGAUUGUAAAAACGAUUUUGGUGAAAUAGAUGGUUAAAAGGCUAGUUAGGAGGUUCUUCUCCACACAUGUCACACUUGCAAACAAAACGAUUUUUCAGUUGUUCUUCCGAUAAACUACGAAUACUCAACGCCCCAAGUUAACCGUGAAUUGCACUAAUUAACCCUCAGUUUUUCCACAAGUUAUUAAGUUGGAUGAUUGCAUACGACAACCAAAACAUUCCUACAAGUUCCCUACAUGAAUUGCAUAAUAGAGAUACAAGCAAGAAUCAUUACGUUCUUAUGAAAAACAUAAGCAUUGACGAAGCAUUUGUUACUAUGAAUUGCAUGAAACUUAUGCUAAGAAUUCAUUCAACGCGAUCGUUUUCAAGCGAUCUUCACUACUUGUGAUUAUAAGAUUGUAACUAUUAGGUGAAACUCCCUCAUAAUCUAGCAUCAUAUUCAUGCAUGAAAACUAAGCGUGCACUCUCAAUCAACAUACACAAAUAAGUUAUCAAUCAAAUAGAUGAACGAAUUGAAUCCAUAACUUAUGAAAUAACAACUGAAUGUAAUCGAAUCAAAUUGCAAGCAUGUACAUGGUUUCGAAUCACCCCCCAACUAAGGGGGUUUAGUUCCUCAUACUCACAACACAAAGUUUAUUGAAUUGAAACAUCGAAGACAUAAGAAAGAUUACACCUAAAAUGCCAAAGAAUUCCACUUUGAAUUCUGCACAGCAAGCUCCUCUUUCUUCUUCUCCUUGCUGCGGCAGAGAGGGUUUAGGGGAUUUUUGGGUAGUUUUGGAUGAUUUUGGACGAGGGAGAAUGGUGGAAAAAUGUCUAGGAUGGGUGUAGGGCACGGCUAGGAAGGUUUGGGGUCAGAAAAUAUGGAGUUGGGUGAAGGUUGGGCUCGGCAAAGGUGAGGGACAGGUUCUGGCGUGAAUGGAGUUUUUCUGGAUGUGUUUUUGGGUUUUGAAAGGUAGAUAGGAUAGUAUGGUGGGUGCGGCAAGGUGUGGGAAUGGUUUAUGGAGGUGGAGAAUGGUGUAUGGAUGUGUGGAAAUGGUGCUGGAAUGGAUGGAAGCUGCGGCAAAAGGUGGGAAAGGUUGCUGGAAUGGGUGGUGGCUGCGGCAAGGAGAGGAUUAGGGUGAUGGUGAUUUUCUGAUUUGUGUAGAGGGAAUGAUGAUGUGCGGCUAGGGUUUAGAAAUAUAUAUAUAUAGGCAUUUAAAAAACCCUAGCAAAUCAGAUUAGGGCCUCUAAAACACAAUCCAUCAGAAAUUAGGUUGAAACAAUUAGACAUUUAGUGGGAAAAAGGGCCUAGGGUGCGGCUGGUAUGUGGGCUAAGGUUAGGGUUUCUAGAAACCCUAACAAGGCAAGGCAAAGUGAUUCUAGAGGGCCCAGGUGCGGCAUAGGAUGAAGGUCCAUAAGGAAUUUGGGUUUAGGUCAUCUAAAAGCCCAAAGCCAAGAAUAGAAACUCACGAAAAUGGAAACCUCCAAGAAUAGAAACUUCCAACUUUUAGAAACUUUGGUUGCCAAAUUCCGGUUUAGGAAAGAUCAACCCAAAAUGGAAACUUUUAGGCUUAGCUUUCCUACAUCAAGUAGGAAACCUCAAAUCUUCAACUCUUCAAUUCCAUCCCAACCUUGUGUUCCAAGCAUGUACUUUUCAAUCCAAGCUCACUUUCUUGCUCCAAAAGCUCCAACUUGCAUCAUUUCAUGUAAUACGUCCUUUAACCUGAAAACACAUGAAAGUAGCUUAAAAGACUACUUUAACGAAGAAAACAUAACAAAAAUGCAUAAGAACUAGUUAACUAAGGCGCAUAAAUAUGCUCCUAUCAUUUACUUAUCUAUUUGAUUGAUAACUUGUUUAUGUAUGUGGGUUGAGGGUCGACACUUAAUUUGCAUGCCUAAACUUGAUGCUAGGAUAUAAGGGAAUUUCACCUAAUCGUUAUUAACUUGUAUUCAUAAGUAGUGAAAGUCGCCAGUCACGAUUGUGUUAAGUAAAUCCUAGGCAAGAGUAACAUGCGUAUCCCAUAGUUAUGAAUGCCUCGUCAAUGCUUAUGAUUUCCAUUAAACUUAAUGAUCUUUGAUACGUGUCUCUAUCAUGCGUAUUCCAUAGUUAGGGUCCUUGAUAAGAAUAAUUUGGUUGUAAUGCGUAUUCCAUUCAAUUCAAUGAAUCUAGGGAAAUCUGAGAAUUAAUUGGGUGCAAUCUAGUUAAUUUGGGGCAUUGUCAUUCAUGGUUUGUUGAAAGAGUAAUUGGAGAUCGAGUUGUAUGCAUAUGUUCAUGUGUGGAUAAGGAACCCUCUAACUAGCUUCUCACCAUUCUACUUAAUCACAAUCUGUUUUGCUUUACAUUUGUUUUUAAAGUUUGAGUUUUAAAGUUUUAAUUUCGUCAAAGUCAUUCCCCCAUUUAUUUUAAAGUGUUAGAUUAGUUAGAAAUCCAUUUAGUUGUGUUUUUAAGUGUUUUGAGUCAAGUCAUAGUCCAAAUUCGUCCAAACUAGUGUUAGGUACUCAAAACUGCCCAGAAAGUGGUUUUAAGGCAGUUUUGAGCCUUUUAGUUGCUGUUUUGGGUUUUUAGUUUGUUUAGGUGUUUUAAACCCUAGUUUUGCAUUAAUUGAGUCUAGUUUAGUGUUCUACAUUAUAUUUUUAUGUUCUUGAGUCAGUUUUACAUUGAUUAGCAUCCCUAGUUAAUCCCCGGUUAGAACGAUCCCUAUUUGCUCAUAUACUACAAUUGUCAUCCAUAGGGUUUAAUUUGUGUGUCAAGUUAAUUUUCACAUCAGCUUCCUAGGUCUUCUUUAUUCGCAUGGGUUGCCUCCCACGAAGCGCUUGCUUUAACGUCUUCCAGCCGGACGAUACUUCCAUUCAAACUCCCCUAGGUCCCACGGCAUGGAAUUGAUCUUUAAAUGGGAGAUGAUACUUGAAAUGAUCCGGCACAGGUUUAAAUUCAAGAGUGGGUGCCUGAAUCAUUAACAACAUAUUAGUAUAAACCAAAAUUGAAAUUCGGGGAAGUGGCUUACCUGUGUGCUCCGACAUGAACUCAAUGACAAAUACCACUUCUUUGAAAGUUUUAGGGACUUUGAAUUUGGCUAGAUUUACUACCAUGGUUGUGAUUUGUCCCGUGUCAUCAAAUUCAACGUCUUUAGGCGUCGUUGUCUCAAAUACGUCCUCUUUGAUGAAUUCUUGAUAUUCUCGAGCCCCUACUUUCUCUUGAAUCAUUCUUCUUGGUGUACAAAGUCCCUUGAACAAUUCAACACAUCUAGAACUUGCUUUGUUGCACCAAGAAUUGGAAAAUCAUUUUGCACCUUUGGAAGAGCUUCCAUAAUUUCUUUUUCCCUCUCUUCUUGCUUGGGAAUCAAAAACCUGCGAGGAAAAGGGACAUUGGGUGGAAUGGGGUUAGAAUUAAUUGAAUUUGGAACCACCUUACCUGAGUUGGAUGGCAUAGGGACUCUAGGAGGCUGCGGCCAUGGUUGUUCUACCCUUGCCGUGGGUGUGUCUUCUUCCUCCUCCUCAAUUAGCAGCUGUUCGUCCUCCUCUUGGCUUGAUUUGCACGUUUUUGGACUUGUUCCAACCUCCAUGCUACUUUCCAAAAUGAUAGCAUCAUGGAUUUCAAAAUCUUCCUUCAAAUUUUCAAUAGUUGAGUUGGAGGGUUCACUUUGCUCUUGAAUUUGUGCCAUGAACUCCAUAAUCUCUCCAAUUUGAUUCUUCAAUUUACCCAACUUCUUGUCUUGAUUUUGUUGGUCCUGCGCCAAAGAGGUUAGUAAUUGAAGAAUUUGAUCACUAUCCAUGGACAUACUUGAAUUUGAUUGGAAUUGUUGUGGAGAAUGUUGUGGUGGCUGCAUAGGUCUUGAAUAGAACUCCUCAUAUGGAUGCCAAUAUGCUUCGUGUUGAACUUGUUGAGCUUCCCACCACAUAGAGUUUGAAUGAUCACUCCAAUUCGAAUUGUAAGUGUUGGGAAACAUGUUGUUGCUCGGUUGAUCAUAGCCUUGAUAACCCCAAGCAUCUCCGUUUGCAGUGAAUUGAGGACGUUGAUGAGUUGGAUAUCCGUGCCCAUAGGACACACCACAUGUAGGGACACUUUUCAUUGUGGUCCUUUCGAUAUAUUGCGUUAACUGAGAAGUAAGAUUCGUUAUUUGAACUUGAAGAUUAGCAAUUGCCAUGUCUUACUUCUCUAGUACCUAAAAUCAAAGAAAGAAAACUAAAUCAAAUAUCAAAAGUAAAAGACACGAACAAAAACAAAGGGGGAUUAGCAAUUUUGCUAAUCCCCGGCAACGGCGCCAAAAUUUGAUGUGAAAAUUAUGUUGACACUCAAAUUAACCCUCUUUUUAUCAAUUGUAGCAAAGUAUGUAAGUAGGGAUCGUUCUAAACCGGGGAUUAGGAGGGAUUGCAAAAUCACUUGAAAACUGACUCGAAUACGUAAAAACAAGUUUAAAACACUAAACUAGACUCAAAGAAUGCAAAACUAAACUUUAAAACACCAAAACAAACCAAAAGACUCAAAACAGCAAACAAACACUCAAAACUGCCUUAAAACACUUUCUAGGCAGUUUCUGACACUCAGGAAGAAUUUGGACGAAAAUUGAUUAUAACUUGACUCAAGACACUUAAAAACACAAACUAAAUUGAUUUCUAACUAGUAUGACUCAACAAAGAAAAGGGGGAUUGAUUUUGGACGAAUUUAAAAACAAAACAAAACUUUGUAAACUAAAACAGAUUUUAAAACGAAUUUGGAUGAUUUGAAUGGAUGGAAGGCUAGCUAAGGGGUUCAUCUCCACACAUGUCACACUUGCAUAUAAAACGAUCUCUAAUUGCUUUUCAAUAAACCAUGAAUUCCCAACGCCCCAAGUUAAUUAGGUCCGCUUAAAUUAACCUUCAGAUUUUCUUAAUGUUAUUGAAUUGGAUGAUUGCAUACGACAACCCAAAGCAUUCCCCACAAGUCCCCUACAUGAUUGCAUAAUAGAGAUACAAGCAAGAAUCAUUAAGUUCUAUGAAAACCAUAAGCAUUGACGAAGCACUUGUUACUAUGAUUGCAUGAAACUUAUGCCAAGAAUUUACUUAACACGAUUGUGAUCAACAACCUUUACUACUUGUGAAUAUAAGUUCAUAACGAUUAGGUGAAAUUCCCUUAUAUCCUAGCAUCAAAUUCAUGCAUGCAAACUAAGUGUCGACCCUCAAUCAACAUACAAGAAUAAGUUUUAAUCAAGGAAGAAAAAAUCGAUAAUAUCGGCGAAAUAUCGCCGAUAUUAUCGUUUUUUUGGAGUUCCGAAAUUUUUUUAACUAUCCAACCUAUUUUCGUUAAAAUAUCGCGAUAUUAUCGAUAAUAUCGAAAAUAUCGCGAUAUUUUCAAAACUAUCGAUAAUAUCGCAAUAUUUUAUUAAAAAAAUACUUAAAUAUGUUAAGUAAACUCAACACAUACUUCACUUGAUCAUGGCCCAAAGACCAAACAAGCUUUGGAUAUCUCAACAGGGGAGUGUGGCUUUUAUAGGAAAAAUGGCUUGCUCACUUCCUUGCAUGGGCGAUGUGGGACUCGCCCAAUGGAAGAAAAAAUCAAAAUUUCGGCCGAAAUUUUACACCCACUUUAAACGGUCAUAACUUUGUCAAAACUCAACGAAAUCAAGCAAGACAAAAACGAAAGUUGUAGCCCUUGAAGAGACGAAGAGAAUGGUACCUCACACGACAUCUGAAUCGUCGUGUUUUGGCCGGAAAAUUCCUCGAAAGUCACUGAGGUCGCCGGAAACUGGGUAAGAUUCAAAUGAGUAUAACUUUUUCAAUACUCAACGAAAUUGAGUGAAACAAAAAGGAAAGUUGUACUACUCGACGAGACGAAGAGAUUGAUACCUUGCACACCGGCCAACUCGCAGUGUUUUGGACGGAAAUUGCCUCGAAAGCUACUGAGGUCGCCGAAAACUGGGUAAGAUUCAAAUGAGUAUAACUUUUUCAAUACGCAACGAAAUUGAGUGAAAAACAAAAGGAAAGUUGUAGCCCUCGAAGAGACGAAGAGAAUGGUACCUCACACGACAUCUGACUCAUUGUGGUUUGGCCGUAAAUUGCCUCGAAAGCUACUGAGGUCGCCGGAAACUGGGUAAGAUUCAAAUGAGUAUAACUUUUUCAAUACGCAACGAAAUUGAGUGAAACAAAAAGGAAAGUUGUAGCCCUCGAAGAGAUGAAGAGAUUUGAUACCUUGCACGCCGCCCAAAAUUCAAUUGACACACUCCUGGCUUCCAAAAUUCAAUACUUUUACUUUAUAUCAACUUGAAAAAACAUAAUCGGCAUCCAAAUUAAAGUUUAGUCUUAUUUCAAUGUAUUGGAUUUUCAAUUGUUAAUUGAUAUACUAUAAUUUGGAACUUCAACGCCUAGACGCAUGCUUAUGUGUAAGAAAUUUAAAUUGUCAAAAUUCGGCACAUUAUUCUUCAUCAUUUUAUUCACUCCCUUUUUUUUUUUAAUAUCCUAAAUAAAACCUCCAAAUAUUGUACUAAUUAAUUAUAUAUAAAUGAUUAUGGUGUGUUUAAAACUUCUUUCAUUAAUUACUACAUAUUUUCUACACUCACAAUGUUUGCCAGCUCGCUAUAUAAUCAACUUAAAUCAGUUAAAUCCAUCAUGCAAUGCAUUUCCUUCCAAUUUUUUGUGAUAAACUAAUAGAUAAUUGACUAAAUAAACAUCCUACAAAGUUUCAUUAAAAAUUUCCAAGUUUUUCUUACAAUUUCCGUGGUUUCCAUGUAAUUUUUAUCGAUAUCGAUAUUAUCCCGAUAUUUCCAUCGAUAUUUCCGUGUUUUCGGACUACCGAUAUUUCCGAUAUUACCGAUAUUUUCUUCCUUGGUUUUAAUUCACAUAGAUAAGCAAAUUGAAAUCACAACUUAUGAAACGCAAUUAGAAGUAAUCAAAUCAUAUAGCAAGCAUAAUCAUGGUUUCGAAUCCCCCCCUAGCCAAGGGGGUUUAGUUCCUCAUACUUGCAAAUAAACAAAGAUAAAUAAAUUUAAACAUUAAAACAAAGAUAGAAAACACCUAGAAACGCUCCACAAUCCAAGCUCCUUGAAUGGCAUGCACGGCUCCAAGAGUUCUUCCUUCUUCUCCUUUGCAAACUCACGGCACAAGAGGUAUAUUUGGGUGAAUGGUGUAGUGAAAAUAUGGUAGAGGAUGGUGACUAAAUGGUGCAGCAAAGGAUGAUAUUUAUAGGCUGAAAUUCGCAGCCCCUAUGUAGCAAAGGAAAAGGAUUUAAAAGCCUAAUUUGUAUAGGAUAAUAACACACAAUCCUUGAAGGAAAAGGCUAAGGGUUUUAGAAACCAAGGGGGAAAGGAAUAAUCAGGUUUCUAGAAGUUCUAGAAAGGUUUGGGGCGUCACUUUUGUAGGACAAGCGAUAAGGCCUUCUAGAAAGGUUGUUUUGUGGCUGAUUUCUAGAAAAAACAAGGGAUAAGGUGUGGCACCUUUGUAGGAGUGGAUAAGGGCUUCUAGAAACCAAUUUUAAUGUGUCCUAAUCUGAAAAUAAAUCCCCCAUGCAGCUGGAAUUAAAUUAGGAUAAGAUUAGGAUAGGAUAAGAUAAGAUAGGAUAGGAUAGGAUAGGUUUUGGAUAAUGUUUUGGAUAAGGUUUCUUCACUUGAGCUGAUUCUUUGGCUUCAACUUCCCUUCUUCAAGUAGGAAACCUUGUUUGAGUAGGAAAACUUCAAUCUUCUAGGAAUCCAACUUCAACUAGGAAUCCAUCUUCAACUAGGAUUUCAUCUUCAAUUAAGCACUUUCCCACUUCAAUUAGGAAUCUUUGUAUCUUCAAUUCUUCAACUUCAAAACACAUUCCUAGCUUCAUCAAUCCUUCAAAUUCGUCCAUCCCUUGUGCUUCAUGUGCAUGAACUCCAUUCUAGCCCAAUUUUGCUCCAAAAUGCUCCAAAUUGCAUCCUUUUGCUCACUUUGUCUCUAAAACCUGAAAACACAUGAAAAAAUAGCUUAAAAGACUACUUUAACUAAGAAAACACAACAUAAAUGCAUAAGAACUAGCUAACUAAGGUGCAUAAAUAUGCUCCUAUCACGCUCUCCUAUCCACCAUUCUCGAUGAGUUGAGGACACUUUUCGGAAGCAUGUCCUUGGAUAGAACAUACACCACACACCAUGGGUCCUUGAAUCUUCAUUCCCUCGGCCAUCUGUGAAACAAUAGAAGUAAGAUUAGCUAACUGAGAUUGAAUAUUGGAUGUGGAACUUACCUCAUGAACUUGUUGCCGUGGGGGUCCUCUUUGGCCUACGCCCUCGUAUUGUUGAGCGUUCAACGCUCGAUUAGCAAUCAAGAUUUUUGCAGCCAUGGGCGUUUUCUCCACCAAUGCUCCACCCGCCGAAGCAUCGAGCAUAUGACGUUCUAGUGGUAGGAGCCCUUCGUAGAAGUAUUGCAAAAGCAACUCCUCAUUCAUCUGAUGUUGUGGACAAGAAGCAACAAGUGAUUUAAAUCGUUCAUAAUAUGUAGGAAAAGACUCACCUUCAUCUUGUUGAAUUCCACUUAUUUUUUUGCGAAGAAGAAUGAUGCGAGAAGUCGGGAAAAACUUCUCCAGAAACGCCCUCUUCAUACUCUCCCAAGACGUAACUGUUCCGGGAGCCAACUCGUAUAACCAAUCCUUGGCCUUGUCCAUUAAAGAGAAUGGAAAAGCCUUCAUCAUUAAAAUACUUCCAUCAACGUUAACCGGAGUCAUACUUGAGCACACCACUUCAAAUUCUUUCAAAUGUUUGUUUGGAUCCUGAUAGGAGCAUAUUUAUGCGCCUUAGUUAGCCAGUUCUUAUGCAUUUAUGUUGUGUUUUCUUAGUUAAGUUAGUCUUUUAAGCUAUUUUCAUGUGUUUUCAGGUUUUAAGGACAAAGUAAGCAAAAAGAUGCAAUUUGGAGCAUUUUGGAGCAAAAAUUAGCUAGAAUGGAGCUCAUGCAUGUGGAGCACAAAGAAUGGACGAAUUUGAAGGAUUGAAGAGCUAGGAAUGUGUUUCAAAGUUGAAGACUUGAAGAUGCAAAGUUUCCUAAUUGAAGUGGGAAAGUGCUUAAUUGAAGAUGGAUUCCUAGUUGAAGAUGGAUUCCUAGUUGAAGAAUGAUUCCUAGUUGAAGUUGGAUUCCUAGAAGAUUGAAGUUUCCUACUCAAACAAGGUUUCCUACUUGAAGAAGGGAAGUUAAAGCCAAAGAAUCAGCUCAAGUGAAGACACCUUAUCCAAAACAUUAUCCAAACCCUAUCCUAUCCAAUCUUAUCCUAUCUUAUCCUAAUCCUAAUCCACCUAUAUUUCAGCUACUUGGGAGGAUUCCUAGCUAUAUUAGGAUGCUUAAAAUCAGAUUUCUAGAAAACCUAAUCCUUUCCUACAAAAAUGGCGCAUAGGACCUUUCUAGAAGACCUUUGCCUUGCAUUGCAAGUCAGCCACUUUCCCUCCACUUUUAUGCCGUGAGUUUUUACCCAAAUCCCUUGGGAUUUUGGUUUCUAGAAGCCCUUAUCCCUUCCUAGAUAAGUGCCGCACCUUAUCCUCCCAUUCCCUUUGGGUUUCUGAUUUGUUUUCCUUCAAGGAUUGUGUUUUAUUUUCCUAUGCAACUUAGGCCUUUAAAUCCUUUUCCUUUGCUACCUAGGGGCUGUGAUUUUCAGCCUAUAAAUACAACCCUUUGCCGCACCAAUUGAACACCACCCUCUACCAUAUUUUCACUACAUCAUUCACCCAAUCAUCCCUCUUGUGCCGUGAGCUUGCAAAGGAGAAGGAAGGAGACUCUUGGAGCCGUGCAUGCCAUUCAAGGAGCUUGGAUUGUUGGAGCGUUUCUAGGUGUUUUCUAUCUUUAUGUCAAUGUUUAGAUUUAUUUAUCUUUGUUUAUUUGCGAACAUGAGGAACUAAUUUCUUUAUAGUUAGAGGGGAAUUCAAAGCCAUGAUCAUAUGUUUUAUAUGACUUGAUUUCCUCCAGUUAUGAUUUCAUGAAUCGUGAAUGUGGUUUACUUAUCUAUUUGAUUGAUAACAUGUUUAUGUAUGUUGAUUGAAGGAUGCAUACUUAGUUCGCAUGCAUGAAUUUGACGCUAGAGUAUAAGGGAAUUUCACCUAAUCGUUAUUAACUUAUAUUCAUAAGUAGUAAAAGUCGCUAGUCACGAUUGUGUUAAGUAAAUCCUUGGCAAGAGUAACAUGCGUAUUCCAUAGUUAUGAAUGCCUAGUCAAUGUUUAUGAUUUCCAUUGAACUUAAUGAUCUUUGAUAUGUGUCUCUAUCAUGCGUAUUCCAUAGUUAGGGUCCUUGAUAAGAAUAAUUUGGUUGUAAUGUGUAUUCCAUUCAAUUCAAUGAAUCUAGGGAAAUCUGAGAAUUAAUUGGUGCAAUCUAGUUAAUUUGGAACAUUGUCAUUCAUGGUUUGUUGGAAGAGUAACUGGAAAUCGAGUCGUAUGCAUAUGUUUCAUGUGUGGAGAAGGAACCCUCUAACUAGCCUUUCACCAUUCUUUUUCAUCCAAAAUCGUUUUUGUUAAGCUUGUUUUCAAAGUCCAAUUUCGUCAAAACCAACCCCCUUACUUUUAAGUCUUGUUUUUAGAGUCAAAACUUGUUUCUUUUAAGUCUUUUAAGUCUUUGAAGUUCUAUUUUCGUCCAAAUCACUUGUUAGGUCUAGAAUUGAGUCUUUUUGGUUGUUAUUUGCUGUUUUGAGUGUUUUGAGUCUAUAGAGUCUAGUUUAGUGUUUUUGAGUCUUAUUUGUGUUGAUUAGCAUCCCUAGUUAAUCCCCGGUCUAGAACGAUCCCUACUUGCAUCAUUACUACAAUUGUCAUCAAUAGGGUUUAAUUUGUGUGUCAACUUAAUUUUCACAUCAGAUCCUCCAUGGACAGCCCAUGGAACUUUGGAAUGUGGUGGAGCAAACUUGACUUAAGCUCGAACUCUUCGGUUUUACCUUGGGCAGCCAUGGGAUAUUGGAUACACAAUGGUGCGGCAUUAUCCAAACCCGAGGCGGAAAGCUCCUUGAGUGUACGGUUGUCCAUGGCCAUGCCUUGAACUUCUCCACCCACUUGUGCCGUGGGAUCCUCCUCUACUUCUAGAACUUGUUCUUCAAGGUCAGGUUCCGGGCUAGGUGGGUUAGACUCUUGUUGGUUCCUCCUUCUUCUCAAAGUUCACUCGAAAUCGUCGUCGAAGUCCAAAAUAUGCUCACGAACAGGUUUGGAACUUCGAGUCAUGCACUAGUACCUAAAAAACAAAGAAACAAAACAAGUUAGCAAUCUGCAAUAGGAAACAAACGAAAAUAAAAAAUAAACAAAAAGAACGAGGGAUUAGCAAAGUUGCUAAUCUCCGGCAACGGCGCCAAAUUUUGAUGCGUAAAAUAACUAAACACACAAAUUAACCCUCUUGUUGACAAUUGUAGUAUGGAUAAGUAGGGAUCGUUCUUAAACCGGGGAUUAUGAGGGAUUGCUAAAACACUCUAAACUGACUCAAAUCUGUAAAACAAAGUUUAAAAUACUAAACUAGACUCAAAGAAUGCAAAACUAAAAUCUAAAACACUAAAACAAACCAAAAGACUCAAAACAGCAAACAAACACUCAAAACUGCCUUAAAACCACUUUCUGGGCAGUUUUGGGACUCUAACACAACUUGGACGAAUUUUGGUUUCCUAAUGACCUAAAACACCUAAAAACAUAUUCUAAGACAAGUUCUAAGUAAUAUGACUUAAAGGAAUAAGGUGGGAUUGAUUUUGGACGAAAAUAAUUAAAUGGGCAGAUUGAAAAAGAAAACAGAUUGUAAGACAAAAUUGUGAUGAAUCAAUGGAUGAUGGAAUAGCUAAGGGGUUCUUCUCCACACAUGAAAUAUAUGCAACGUAAAUCAAUUUCCAGUUAUCAAUUUAAUAAGUUGUGAACGUCGACACUCCAAGUUAAUUAGGUCCGCUUAAAUUAACCUUCAGAUUUCCCUAGAAUCAUUGAAUUGGAUGAAUAUGCAUCGCAAACAAAUUAUUCCUAACAAGUUCUCUAUACGAACAGCAUGAUAAAGACACAAGUUAGAAUCAUUACGUUCUUUGGAAAUAAUAAGCAUCGACAAGGCAUUUGUAACUAUGAAAAGCAUGAUACUCUUGCCAGGAAUCUACUUAACACGAUCGUGACUAGCGACCUUCACUACUUGCGAAUAUAAAUUCAUAACGAUUAGGUGAAACAAACUUAUAUCCUAGCACCAAAUUCAAGCAUGCAAAUUAAGCGUGCACUCUCAAUCAACAUACAAGAAUAAGUUCUAAAUCAAACAGUUAAGCAAAUUGUAUUCACGACUUAUGCAACGAUAACUGAAAGUAAUCAACUUAUUUUACGUAUAUAAUCAUGGUUUUGAAUACACCCUUAGCCAAAACAAAUUUAUCCAAUCAUACUCAAAGCAAAACAAAGAUUACAUGAAUUAGACAUUGAAAUAUAAGAUAAAAUACACCUAAAAUUGUUCAACAACUCAGAAUGAAGAGCCAAACAAUUGAGUGAAUCUGUCCCCUUUCCUUGCUUGCGGCAGAUUGGAUGUUGGUGGUUUCUUGGGUUAUUGAAUGAUGUAGAAUGGAUGGAGGACGUAUGGAAGUGUUUAGGGUUGAUGGGUGGUGCGGCUAGGGUGGUUUUGGGUCAGAAAAUAUGGUGAAUGGUGAAGGAAUGGGGCUGUUGAAGAUGGAGUUCAAUUUCUGGCGUGAAUGGUCAGUUUCUGGAUGAAUGGGGAUGUUUUUAGCUGCACCAGGAUGAGUUUAUUUAAAGGGAUUAGGAAAUUAAAAACCCUAGACUAUUUUGGUAAACAGAAAUUAAGUCAAAAGCUUCUAGAAAUAGGAAAUUAAAUAAGAAACUUAAGGGAAAGUCAAGGGAUAUGCGGCAACACCUUGAAACACAUUAGGAAUGUGUUUUAAUGCAUAAAAUCAGGAAAGAACCCUCUCCCUUGCACGGCAAGGAAGAGGAAAGGGCAAGAAACCUUCACAAGGUGCGGCAAGGCUUUAGGAAAGGUCUAAGUGUCCUAAAACUAAUGGAAAAAGGGAUCCCUUGCAAGGCAAGGAAAGGGAAAAUUGGGAAAGGUGCGGCAAGGCUUUACAAUGUGCAAGAGAGGUGUAUUUGAUGUCCUAGAAUGCUUAGGAUGCCUUCAAAGUUGAUAAAUCUUAGGAACAUUUAGGAAAGGUCAAACCAAAGUAGGAAACCUUGGCUUAACUUUCCUAUUUCAAGUAGGAAUCCUUCUUGGAGUAGGAAUCCUUGUUCUUCUAGGAAUCCUCAUGUGAUUAGGAAUCCAUCUUCAAUUAGGAAUCCUUCGUCGAUUAGGAAUCCUUCUUCGAUUAGGAAUUCUUGGUUGAUUAGGAAUCCUAAUUUCUUCAAGUCUUUAAUUCAUCCAUUCCUUUUGCUCCAAGCAUGUGAUAAUCAUUCCAAGCUCCAUUUUGCUCCAAAAGGCUCCAAAAUGCAUACUUUGCCUUUAGAAUCUGAAAACACACAAAAGUAACUUUAAACACUAAAAUAGCUAACGAAACAUAACAUAAAUGCACGAGAACAAGCCAAUUAAGUCGCAUAAAUAUGCUCCUAUCAGGCCUCCCAAGUAGGAUCGACAAUGGGGUAACAUUGGGUGAAUCCUCAAUCUCUAAAACAUAGAAAUCUGUUGGGAAUAUCAAGUUAUCUACCUGCACCAAAACAUCUUCCAAAACUCCUUUCGGAUAUGCAUUAUAACGAUCGGCUAAUUGAAUUAUGACACCAUCGUUUUUAAGCUCUCCUAAGUUCAUAGAUGCAUAGUUGAGUAUGGCAUGACAUUAAUUGAAGCUCUUAAGUCUAAAAUAGCAUGUUCAAACUUAGUAUUGCAAAUAACACAAGGAAUUGUAAAACUACCUGGAUCUUUGCAUUUAGGGGGUAAUUUCCUUUGCACAACAGCAAAAACAUUUUCACUUACCUGGACAACCUCUUUGUUUGAAAUUCUCCUCCUUGUUGUACAAAGCACUUUCAAAAAUUUGGUGCGAAAAUUAACUUAACACACAAAUUAAACCCUCUUUUGACAUUUGUAGUAUAUGUAUAAGUAGGGAUUGUUCUUAAAUCGGGGAUUAUGAGGGAUUGCUAAUCGACUCUAAACUGACUCAAAGACACAAAAACAAACUAAAAAUGUUUAGAUAGACUCAAAAGAUUCAAAACAAGUUCACAAGACUCAAAAUAAGCUAAAAAAACUCAAAACUGCCUAAAAACACAAACUAGGUAGUGUUUGACACUAAACAUAAUUUUGGACGAAAAUUGGUUUUAUCUUAACUCCAAACACUUAAAAACACAACUAGGACAGAUUGUAACUAAUUAGACACACUAAAGUAAAGGGAGAUUGGGUUUUGGAUGGAAAUAAAGUAAAACUAAGCAGAAAUUAAAACUAGGCAGAUUUGCACGAAUUUGGCAAAAAAAUAUGGAUGAUGGGCUAGCUAGAAGGUUAUUCUCCACACAUGACACUUGCAUACAAAACGAUUUCCUGUUGCUUCUCAAUAAACCAUGAACCUCAAUACCCCAGGUUAAGUAGGUACGCUUAAAUUAACCCUCAGAUUUUCCUUAUGUCAUUGAAUUGGAUGGAAAUAGUGCAUCGCAAUCAAAUUAUUCUUCAAAAGUUCCCUACAUGAAAGCGCAUAAUAGAGAUACAAUCAAAGAUCAUUAAGUUAUAUGAAAAUCAUAAGUACUGACAAGGCAUUCGUUACUAUAAAAGCGCAUGAUACGUAUGCCAGGAAUUUACUUAACACGAUUGUGACUAGCAACCUCAUUUACUUAACACGAUUGUGACUUGCAACCUCCACUACUCAUGAAUAUAAGUUUGUAACGAUUAGGUGAAACUCCCUUAUAUCCUAGCAUCAGAUUUAUGCAUGUAAAUUAAGUGUGCACUCUCAACUCACAUACACAAACAAAUUUUAAUUCAAGCAGAUAAGUAAAUUGAAUUCACAAUUUAUGGAAUCACAACUGGAUGUAAUCAAAUUAUAUUGCAAGUAUAAUCAUGGUUUCAAAAUUCCCCCUAGCUAAGAGGGGUUUAGUUCCUCAUACUCACAAAAUGAUGUGAAAAUUAUGUUGACACACAAAUUAACCCUCUUGUUGACAAUUGUAGUAUGGAUAAGUAGGGAUCAUUCUUAAACCGGGGAUUAGGAGGGAUUGCUAAAACACUCAAACUGACUCAAAUAUGUAAAACAAGGUUUAAAACACUCGACUAGACUCAAAGAAUGCAAAACUAAACUUUAAAACACUAAAACAAAUCAAAAGACUCAAAACAGCACCAAAACACUCAAAACUGCCUUAAAACACUUUCUGGGCAGUUUUGGGACUCUAAUGCAAACUUGGACGAAUUUUGGUUUUCUAAUGACCUAAAACACUUAAAAACAUAAUCUAAGACAAGUUCUAACUAAUAUGACUCAAAGAAAUAAAGUGGGGUUGAUUUUGGACGAAUUUAAAUUAAAUGGCAGAUUGUAAAGAAAACAGAUUGUAGACAAAAUUGUGAUGAAUCAAUGGAUGAUGGAAUGGCUAAGGGGUUCUUCUCCACACAUGAAAUAUAUGCAACGUAAAUCAAUUUCCAGUUAUCAAUUCAAUAAGUUAUGAACCUCGACACUCCAAGUUAAUUAGGUCCGCUUAAAUUAACUUUCAGAUUUCCCUAGAAUCAUUGAAUUGGAUGAAUAUGCAUCGCAAACAAAUUAUUCCUAACAAGUUCUCUAUAUGAACAGCAUGAUAAAGAUACAAGUUAGAAUCAUUACGUUCUUUGGAAAUCAUAAGCAUCGACAAGGCAAUUGUAACUAUGAAAAGCAUGAUACUCUUGCCAGGAAUCUACUUAACACGAUCGUGACUAGCGACCUUCACUACUUGCAAAUAUAAAUUCAUAACGAUUAGGUGAAACAAACUUAUAUCCUAGCACCAAAUUCAAGCAUGCAAAUUAAGCGUGCAUUCUCAAUCAACAUACAAGAAUAAGUUCUAAAUCAAACGGUUAAGCAAAUUGUAUUCACGACUUAUGCAACGAUAACUGGAAGUAAUCAACUUAUUUCACAUAUAUAAUCAUGGUUUUGAAUACACCCUUAGCCAAAACGAAUUUAGCCAAUCAUACUCAAAGCAAAACAAAGAUUACAUGAAUUAGACAUUGAAAUAUAUAAGAUAGAAUACACCUAAAAUUGUUCAACAACUCAGAAUGAAGAGCCAAACAAUUGAGUGAAUCUGUCCCCUUUCCUUGCUUGCGGCAGAUUGGAUGUUGGUGGUUUCUUGGGUUAUUGAAUGAUGUAGAAUGGAUGGAAGACGUAUGGAAGUGUUUAGGGUUGAUGGGUGGUGCGGCUAGGGUGGUUUUGGGUCAGAAAAUAUGGUGAAUGGUGAAGGAAUGGGGCUGUUGAAGGUGGUGUUCACUUUCUGGCGUGAAUGGGUAUUUUCUGGGUGAAUGGGAGAUGAUGAUCUGAUCUAGGGGUUAUAAUGAGUAUAUAUAGGCAUCCAAAACCCUAGGGUAAUCAGAUUAGGGUUUCUAGAAGCCCAAAUCCACCAGAAAUUAGGUUAAAACAAUCAGAUUUUUAGUGGGAAUAAGGCCUAAGGUGCGGCUAGGGUUAGGGUUUAGAGAUGGGCCUUCUAGAAUGCCUUGCAAGGCAAGGAAAUCAGAUAUUUGAUAUGAAAAUUAACUUGACACACAAAUUAAACCCUAUGGAUGACAAUUGUAGUAUAUGAGCAAAUAGGGAUCGUUCUAGACCGGGGAUUAACUAGGGAUGCUAAUCUAUGUAAAACUGACUCAAGAACAUAAAAUUAUAAUGUAGGACACUAAACUAGACUCAAUUAAUGCAAAACUAGAAUUUAAAACACCUAAACAAACUAAAAACUCAAAACAGCAACUAGAAGGCUCAAAACUGCCUUAAAACCACUUUCUGGGCAGUUUUGAGUACCUAACACUAGUUUGGACGAAUUUGGACUAUGACUUGACUCAAAACACUUAAAAACACAACUAAAUGGAUCUCUAACUAAUCUAACACUUUAAAAUAAAUGGGGGAAUGAUUUUGACGAAAAUUGAAACUUUACAACUUAAACUUUGAAAACAAACUUAAAGCAAAACAGAUUGUGAUGAAAUAGAAUGGUGAGAAGCUAGUUAGAGGGUUCCUUAUCCACACAUGAACAUAUGCAUACAACUCAAUCUCCAAUUACUCUUUCAACAAACCAUGAAUGACAAUGCCCCAAAUUAACUAGAUUGCACCAAUUAAUUCUCAGAUUUCCCUAGAUUCAUUGAAUUGAAUGGAAUACGCAUUACAACCAAAUUAUUCUUAUCAAGGACCCUAACUAUGGAAUACGCAUGAUAGAGACACAUAUCAAAGAUCAUUAAGUUCAAUGGACAUCAUAAGCAUUGACGAGGCAUUCAUAACUAUGGGAUACGCAUGUUACUCUUGCCUAGGAUUUACUUAACACAAUCGUGACUAGCGACUUUCACUACUUACGAAUAUAAGUUAAUAACGAUUAGGUGAAAUUCCCUUAUACCCUAGCAUCAAGUUUAAGCAUGCAAAUUAAGUGUCGACCCUCAACCCACAUACAUAAACAAGUUAUCAAUCAAAUAGAUAAGUAAAUCACAUUCACAAUUUCUGAAAUCAUAAUUGGAAGAAAUCAAAUCAUAUAAAACAUAUGUCCAUGGCUUCAAAUUCACCUCUAACUAAAAAGAAAUUAGUUCCACAUGUUUAACAUAAUUGAACAGCAAGUUAAAUUAAACAUGAAAACAGAAGCAAGGGAAGAAAGAACUCUAGAAACUCCAAUGGUUGAAGAUUGCAUGCGGCAAAGCCUUCCUCCUCUCCUAAGGUCACGGCAAAGCUCCUCUCUUUGGUGGAAUGGAUGUGUUGCGGCAAAAGGAUGGGGGAAGGUUAGAAAAUAUGGAAGAAUGGUGGUAGAUGGCUUGCGGCAAGGAAGAAAAAUGGCUAGAAUUGUGUUUUUGGGAUUUUCCGAUGUGUAGAUGGUGUGGCUGAAAGUAUGGACGAAAAUUCUGAAUAUGGAGAGGGUCUCCCUGGCCAAGGGAGGUAAAACACAUAUAUAUAGGCAGCCAAACCCUAAAGAAAUCAGGUUAGACAAAUGGGCUAGGGUUUAGGUGCGGCUAGGGUUAGGAAAUCCACCAAAAACUAGGGUUUCUAGAACAUUAGGUGCGGCAUGGGCUUAGGGUAAGUAAUCAGAUUUUUUUCAUGUGAACAAGGCCUAAGUGCGGCUGAUUAAGUGGGCUAGGGUUAGGGUUAGGUGCGGCAUAGGUCCAAGAGGCAAAGAUGGGUCAUCCAAAAGCCCAAAGUCAAGAAUAGAAACUCUCGAAAAUGGAAACCUCCAAGAAUAGAAACUUCCAACUUUAGAAACUUUAGUUGCCAAUUCCGACUUCUUUGUUCUUUACUUUCAUUUCUUCAUUUCUUAAGCUCCCUCGACCUUCAAACUCGUCCAUUCUUCGUGCUCCAUUUGCAUACACCACAUUUCAGCUCACUUUUGCUCCAAAAACACCAAAUUGCAUCAUUUCGUGUAAUAUGUCUUUUAACCCUGAAAACACAUGAAAGUAGCUUAAAAGACUACUUUGACGAAGAAAACAUAACAACAAUGCAUAAGAACUAGCUAACUAAGGCGCAUAAAUAUGCUCCUAUCAAUAUUCUAGAGGCCUAGGUGCGGCUAGGGUUAGGGUCCACAAGGAAUUAGGGUUUAGGUCAUCUAAAAGCCCAAAGCCAAGAAUAGAAACUCUCGAAAAUGGAAACCUCCAAAAAUAGAAACUUCCAACUUUAGAAACUUUGGUUUCCAAAUCUGAAUUCUUUGUUCUUCACUUUCAUUUCUUCAUUUCUUAAGCUCCUUUGACCUUCAAACUCGUCCAUUUCUUGUGCUCCAUUAGCAUACACUUCAUUCCAGCUCAAUUUUGCUCUAAAAUGCUCCAUUUUGCACUUCUUUGCAUACUUCGUCUGUAAACCUGAAAUUGCACGAAAAUGACUUUAAACACUAAAAUAACUAAAGAAAAACAACAUAAACUUUGCCAACUAAGUCGCAUAAAUAUGCUCAUAUCACAAAACAAAGAUUAUUGAACUUAAACAUUGAAAACAAAAGAAAGAUUACACCUAAAACGUUCCAGCAACUCUAACUUGAAUGGCAAGCACGUCCAAGGGCUCUCCUUCUUCUUCUUUGCUGCGGCACAAGGUGUGGUUGAUGGUUUGAGGGGUGGUUUGUAUGAAAGAAUGGCUGAAAGUAUGUAUGGUGGUGAAUGGGUCAAUGGAAGGUGAUACGAAAAUUAACUUAACACACAAAUUAAAUCCUCUUGUUGACAAUUGUAGUAUGGAUAAGUAGGGAUUGUUCUUAAACCGGGGAUUAUGAGGGAUUGCUAAACACUCUAAACUGACUCAAAGACACAAAACAAACUAAAAACGUUUGGAUAGACUCAAAAGAUUCAAAACAAGUUCACAAGACUCAAAAUAAGCUAAAAACACUCAAAACUGCCUAAAAACACAAACUAGGCAGUUUCUGAUUCUAACACAACGUUGAUGCGAAAUAUAUAAGCACACAAAUUAAACCCUCUUUUUAUCAAUUGUAGCAAAGUAUGCAAGUAGGGAUCGUUCUAGGCCGGGGAUUAGGAGGGAUUGCUAAAUGAUGCGAAAUAGAUUAAGACACAAAUUAAACCCUCUUUUGUCAAAUUGUAGUAAAUAUGUAAGUAGGGAUCGUUCUAAACCGGGGAUUAGGAGGGAUUGCUAAUCUCUUGAAAACUGACUCAAUAAUGUAAAAACAAAGUUUAAAACACUAAACUAGACUCAAAGAAUGUAAAAUUAAAAGUUAAAACACCAAAACAAAGCAAAGGAACCAAAACAGCAAAUAAACACUCAAAACUGCCUUAGAAGCACAAUCUGGGCAGUUUUGAGUACUAACACAAAUUUGGACGAAUUUAUGUUAUAACUUGACUCAAAACACUAGAAAACAUAAACUAACACACUUUCUAACUAAUCUAGGACUCUAAAAUAAAGGGGGAUUUUGUUUUGACGAAAAUUAAAAUAAAGAAAACAGAUUGGAAAUAGGGCAGAUUGUAAAAACGAUUUUGGUGAAAUAGAUGGGUAGAAGGCUAGUUAGGAGGUUCUUCUCACACAUGACACACUUGCAAACAAAACGAUUUUCAGUUGUUCUUCCAAUAAAUUAUGAAACUCAACACCCCAAGUUAAUUAGAUACGCUUAAAUUAACCUUCAAGUUCUCCUUAAGUUAAUGAAUCGGAUGGGAAAGCGUAUACAACAAUUCAAAGCAUUCCUCAAAGGUUCCUUACGUGAUGAGCACAAUAAAGAUACAAUCAAGAAUCAUGGAGCACAAUGAGAACUAUAAGUGUUGACGAGGCAUUCGUUACUAUCAUGAGCAUGAAACUAGUGCCAAGAAUUCAUUCAACGCGAUCGUUUUCAAGCGACCUUCACUACUUGUGAUUAUAAGAUUGUAACUAUUAGGUGAAACUCCCUUAUAAUCUAGCGUCAUAUUCAUGCAUGAAAACUAAGCGUGCACUCUCAAUCAACAUACACAAAUAAGUUAUCAAUCAAGUAGAUGAACGAAUUGAAUCCACAACUUAUGAAAUAACAACUGAAUGUAAUCAAAUCAUAUUGCAAGCAUGUACAUGGUUUCGAAUCACCCCCCAACUAAGGGGGUUUAGUUCCUCAUACUCACAACACAAAGUUUGUUGAAUUGAAACAUUGAAAACAUAAGAAGAUCACACCUAAAAAUUCCAGCAAUCUAAAUUGCACAGCAGGAACGUCUAAGAACCUUCCUCCUCUUCCUUGGUUGCGGCCCAGGGGUUUGUGAUGGUUUUUGGGGGUUAUGGAUGGUGUAGAAUGGUGGAAAAGUGUGUAGGAUAGGUGUAUGGGACGGCUAGGGUGGUUUUGGGUCAGAAAAUAUGGUGAAUGAUGAAGGAUAGGUGCUGUUGAAGAUGGAGAAUGGUUUCUGGCGUGAAGGAUUAUUUUCUGGAUGAAUGGUCCCCUUUGUGGCUGCACAAGGAUGUUUAUUUAAAGGGAUUUAGGAAAUUAAAAACCCUAGGCUAAUUAGGUAAUCAGGAAUUAAGUUUAAAGCUUCUAGAAUUAAGGAAACAAAUCAGAAAAUUAAAAGGAAAGGUCAAGGAAAUUCGGCCAGGGUUUAUAGCAUAAAAAGGAAGGUGUUUUAAUGCUCCAAAACAGGAAAGAGCCGUCUCCCUUGCACGGCAAGGAAGAGGAAAGGGCAAGGGAGUGUGGCAAGGGGUCCAUAAGGGUUCUAGGCUUUUGUUUUGUGUCCUAGAAUGCUUAGAAAAUCUUCAUAAUUGCUGGAACUUUUAGGGACAAUUAGGAAAAAUCAAACCAAAGUAGGAAACCUUGGCUUAACUUUCCUACUUCAAGUAGGAAUCCUUGUUGGAGUAGGAAUCCUUGUUCUUCUAGGAAUCCACAUGUGAUUAGGAAUCCGUCUUCAAUUAGGAAUCCUUCGUUGAUUAGGAAUCCUCCUUCAUGUAAGCACUUUCCUACUUCAACUAGGAAACCUUGUUCAAGUAGGAAUCAUCAUCUUCAAGCCUUCAAAUUCGUCCAAACCUUGGCUCCAAAUAUGUGACAUGCAUUCCAAACUCCAUUUUGCUCCAAAAAGCUCCAUUUUGCUUCUUUUUGCACACUUUGACCUUAGAACCUGAAAACACACAAAAGUGACUUUAAACACUAAAAUAGCUAAGUAAACACAACCUAAAUGCACGAGAACAAGCCAAUUAAGUAGCAUAAAUAUGCUUUCUAUCACUAAAACACUUAAAACUGACUCAAAAACGUAAAACAAAGUUUAAAACACUGAACUAGACUCAAAGAAUGCAAAACAGCGCAUAAACACUCAAAACUGCCUUAAAAACACAAUCUGGGCAAUUUUGAACACCAAACACAAAAUUGGACGAAACUAGGUUAUAACUUGACUCAAGACACUUAAAAAACAAACUAAAUUGAUUUCUAACUAAUCUAACACUUUAAGAUAAAUGGGGAUUUGGUUUUGACGAAAUUGAAAACAAAACAAAAUUUUUUUAAACUAAAACAGAUUUGAAAACGAAAUUGAUUUAAAUGAAUGGAUGGAAAGCUAGCUAAGGGGUUCUUCUCCACACAGGUCACACUUGCAUACAAAACGAUUUCCAAUUGCUUUUCGAUAAACCAUGAAUUCCCAACACCCCAAGUUAAUUAGGUACACUUAAAUUAACUUUCAGAUUUCCCUUUAGUCAUUGAAUUGAAUGGAAAUAGCGCAUCGCAAUCAAAUUAUUCCUUAAAAGUUACCUACAUGAAAGCGCAUAAUAGAUAAACAAUCAAAGAUCAUUAAGUUCUAUGGAAAUCAUAAGCAUUGGCGAGGCACUUGUUACUAUGAAAGCGCAUGAAACUUAUGCUAAGAAUUUACUUAACACGAUUGUGAUCAGCAACCUUUACUACUUGUGAAUAUAAGUUUAUAACGAUUAGGUGAAACUCCCUUAUAUCCUAGCAUUAAACUUAUGCAUGAAAAUCAAGGGUGCACUCUCAACCAACAUACACAAAUCAGUUUUAAUUCUUAUAGAUAAGUAAAUUGAAUUCACAACUUAUGAAACGCAAUUAGAAGUAAUCAAAUCAUAUAGCAAGCAUCAUGGUUUCGAAUCCCCCCCUAGCCAAGGGGGGUUUAGUUCCUCGUACUCGCAAAACAAAGAUACAUAAAUUUAGACAUUAAAAUUCAAAGAAAGAAAACACCUAGCUGAUCCAACUUGGACAGCAGGUGCAUCCACGAAUCCUCCUUCCUCCUUGCUGGGGCACAAAGGUUAGUGACAGGUUUUGGGUGGUAUUUGUGGUGUAGAAUGGAUGGGGAAUGGUAUGGUAGGGUUUAGGAUUGGUGGGUGGUGCGGCAAGGGGUGUUUAUGGGCAGGAAUUAUGGUGAAUGGUGGUGGAAGGCUGCGGCAGAGAGUGGCUUUGUGUUUCUGGCGUGAAUGAUGUGAAUGAGAGGUGGUUAUUCAGCCAAGGGGUGAAUGAGAGUAUAUAUAGGCACUUAAAACCCUAGGGUAAUCAGAUAUGGACUUGGAUAACCCAAAUCCACAAGGAAAAAGGUUUAAACAAUCAGAAUUUUCAAGGGAAAAGGCCUAAAGGUGCGGCAGAUAAGGGAUAAGGAGGAUAAGGCUUCUAGAAUGCCUUGCAAGGCAAGGCAAAAGGUUCUAACAAGGGAGAUGUGCGGCAGGUUUAUGGGAGUAUAGAUAGGGCUUCAAGAAAGCCCAAAACCAAGAGGAAAUAAGCCCUAACGCACGGCAAGGAUAAGAAAAUAUUCUAGAACCUUUCUUUGUGUCUUCCAACGCUUAGGAACCUUCUAAUGUUGCUAAAACUCAAGGCCAUCUAGGUUUAGGAAAAAUCAACCCAAAAUAGGAAACUUUUAGGCUUGACUUUCCUACUUCAAGUAGGAAACCUUGUUUGAGUAGGAAUCUUCAUUCUUCUAGGAAUCCAUCUUCAACUAGGAAUCCCUCGUUGAUUAGGAAUCCUUCGUGGAUUAGGAAUCCUUCUUUAAUUAGGACUCCUCAAAACUUCAAUUUUGUCCCAACCUUGUGUUCCAAGCAUGUGCUAUUCAAUCCAAGCUCACUUUUGCUCCAAAAAGCUCCAAAUUGCAUCUUUUUAUGUAAUAUGCCCUUAAAACCUGAAAACACAUGAAAAUAGCUUAAAAGACUACUUUAACUAAGAAAACAUCACGAAAAUGCAUAAGAACUAGCUAACUAAGGCGCAUAAAUAUGGUCCUAUCAAACGUGUGGACGAAUUUCGGUUUUAUAUUGGCUUAAAACACAUAAAAACACAAACUAAAUAGAUUCUAACUAAUUAGACACUCUAAAGUAAAGGGGGAUUUGGUUUUGGACGAAAAUAAAGUAAAACAAGGCAAGAACUAAAACUAGACAGAUUUGCACGAAAUUGGUUGAAUUAGAUGGAUGAUGGGCUAGCUAGGUUCUUCUCCACACAUGACACACUUGCAUUUGAAUUGAUUUCCAAUUGUCUCUUUCAAUAGACCAUGAAACUCAAUAGCCCAGGUUAACCGUGACAACACUUUUUUAACCUUCAAGUUUUCCUUAAGUUCUUGAAUUGGAUGGGAAAGCACAUACAAUGAUUCAAAACAUUCUCUAAAAGUCCCCUACGGGAAAAGCACAAUAAAGGUACAAUCAAAUAUCAUUAAGCUUCAUGAAAACUAUAAGCAUUGACGACGCAUUCGUAACUAUGAUGAGCAUGAUAGUUUUGCCAAGAAUUCACUUAACGCGAUCAUUUAUAAGCGACUUCCACUACUUGUAAAUAUAAGUUUGUAACUAUUAGGAUAAACUCCCUUAUAUUUUAGCUUCAAAUUCCUGCAUGAAAACUAAGUGUGCAAUCUUAAUAAACAUACAAGAAUAAGUUAUCAAUCAAACGGUUAAGCAAAUUGAAUACACAACUUAUCAAAAUAACUACUGAAGGAAAUCAAUUCAUAAUGCAAGUAUAAUCAUGGUUUUGAAUAGCCCCCUAGCCAAGAAGGGCUUAGUUCCUCAUAAUCGCAAAACAAAGAUAAAUAGAUUUAUACAUUGGAAACAAAAGAAAGAAAACACCUAAAACGCUCCAAUGAUCCAACUUGGAAAGCAAGCACAUCUAGGCACUUUCCUUCCUUUCCUUUGCUGCGGCACAAGGUGUUGGUGAUGGUUUGAAGGGUUGUUUGUAUGGAAGAAUGGGUGGAAACAUGUAUGGUGGUGUUUUGGAUGGAUAAAGGUUGCGGCAAAGGUGUAUGGAAAGGUUUUUGAUGGUUUAUAGAUGCGGCUAGGGUGUAUGGAAGUAGAUGAUGAUGAAUGGUGAACGAUUGACUCUACUGGGGUGUAUAUUUAAGGACUUUAGGGUAAUUAAGGCUAGGAAAUAAUUUAGGUAACUGAGAGGAGCAUAUUUAUGCGACUUAGUUAGCUUGUUCUUGUGCAUUUUUGUUAUUAUUCUUUAGUUAUUUUAGCGUUUAAAGUCAUUUUCGUGCAAUUUUAGGUUUAUAUGGCAAAGAAGUGCAUUUGGAGCCUUUUUGGAGUAAAAGUGGGCUUGGAGUGGAUGACACAUGCUUGGAGCUAAAGGAAUGGACGAAAUUGAAGACCUAAAGAUAUGAAGAUUCCUAAUUAAAAGAGGAUUCCUAGAAGAAUAAGGAUUCCUACUUGAAGUAGGAAAGUUAAGCCAAGGUUUCCUAUUUUGGGUUAAUCUUUCCUAAUCCUAAAUGGCCCUAAGUUCCAGCAACAUUGAAAGUUCCUAUGCAUUGUAGGACAUAAACCAAAGGUUCCUUACACCAUUCAAAGCCUUGCGGCACCACCUUUCCCUUUCCCUUUUCAUUCCUCUUCCUUGCCGUGCAAGGGAGAGCCCUUCUUCCCUUUUCCUUGUUUCACAUACCCUUUUUCCUUCCCUCAACAUUCCAGCCGCAUAUCCCCUUACCUUUUCCUUAGGAUUUUGACUUUAAUUCCUAUUUCCCUUUAUGUUUUGGUUUAAUUUCUGUUAACUAAAUUAUUUCCUAGUCGUAAUUACCCUAAAGUCUUUAAAUAUUCACCCUAGCUGCAUCUAUGGAUUAUCAUUCACCAUUCUACACAUCUAUCCCCUUCCAGCCGCACCCAUUCACCACUCAUCACGCCAUUCACCCAUUAUUCAGCCAUACAUCCAUCUAUAUACAUCCAGCCUCACUUCCUACACAACCUUAAUCCAUCAUUCCGUACAUCUAACCAUCAAAACCGUCAUCCAUCCCUUGUGCCGCAGCAAAGGAUGGGAAGGAAAGUUCUUGGACGUAUUGCUGAAGCGUUUAGGUGUUUUCUUUCUUUUGUUUUCAAUGUAUAAAUCUGUUUACCUUUGUUUUGUGAACAUGAGUGGCUAAACCCGUUCUUGCUAGAGGGAAUUCAAAGCCAUGAACAUAUUUGCAAUAUGAAUUGAUUUUUCAAUUGUGAUUUCAUAAACCUUGAAUGCAAUUUACUUAACGGCUUGAUUGAUAACUUAUUCUUGUAUGUUGAUUGAGGGUUAACACUUAGUUUGCAUGCAUGAAUUUGAUGCUAGAAUAUAAGGGAGUUUCACCUAAUCGUUAUGAACUUAUAUAUUCACAAGUCGUGGAGGUUGCUGGUCACGAUCGUGUUAAGUAAAUUCCUGGCAUAAGUAUCAUGCAAUUCAUAGUUACAAGUGCCUUGCCAAUGCUUAUGAUUUUCAUAGAACUUAAUGAUCUUUGCUCGUAUCUUUAUCAUGCAAUUCAUGUAAGGAACUUGUGAGGAAUAAUUUGGGUUGUCGCAUGCAAUCAUCCAAUUCAAUGAAAAUAGGAAAAUCUGAGGGUUAAUUAGUGCAAUUCACGGUUAAUCUGGGGCGUUGAGGUUUAUGGUUUAUCGAAAGAACAAUUGAACAUCAAUUUGUAUGCAAGUAUGUCAUGUGUGGAGAAGGAACUCUAGCUAACAAAUCAUCCAUAGUUUUUCCCAAAUUUGUGCAAAUCUGUUAAGUCUAGUUUCUGCCUAGUUUUACUUAUUUUCGUCCAAAACAAACCCCCUCUUUACUUUCUUGUUUGAAAGUGUUUAAAAUUUGUUUUGUUUGUGUUUUUGAGUAUUUUGAGUCAAGCCAAAACCCUAAGUUCGUCCAAAGUUGUGUUUAGAGUUAGAAACUGCCUAGUUGGUGUUUUUAGGCAGUUUUGAGUGUUUUUAAGUUGUUUUUGAGUCUUUUGAGUCUAUUCAAACGUUUUUAACUUUGUUUUGAUGCUUUUGAGUCAGUUUAGAGGUUUUAGCAAGCCCUCCUAAUCCCCAGUUUAGAACGAUCCCUACUUGCAUUUAUACUACAAUUUGACAACAAGAGGGUUUAAUUUGUGUGCUUAUUUAUUCUGCAUCAGUAAUAGAAAUUUAAAUCAAAUCAUAAAGGGAAAUAGGAAUUAAAGUCAAAAUCCUCAGAAAAGGUAAAGGAGGUGCGGCUGAAGGGAAAUAGGAAAGGGAAAGGCUUUUAAUUGAAAAGGGAAUGUGAUUUAUGGCAGAAAAAUAGGAAAGAGAUGGCUCCCUUGCACGGCAAGGAAGAGAAAAGGGAGACAAGGUGCGGCAAGGCCUUGUAUGGUGCAAGGACCCUUUGGUUUGUGUCCUAAAAUGCAUAGGAGACCUUCAAUGUUGCUGGAACUUAGGGACAUUUAGGAUUAGGAAAGGUCAAACCAAAAUAGGAAACCUUGGCUUAACUUUCCUUCUUCAAUUAGGAAUCCUAGCAUCUUUAGGUCUUCAAUUUCGUCCAUCCCUUUAGCUCCAAGCAUGUGAUAUUCAUUCCAAGCCCAAAGUUGCUCCAAAAAGCUCCAACAUGCACUUCUUUGCUUCUUUAAUCGUUUAGGCCUACAAACACACGAAAAUGGCAUAAAGUGCAUGAAUAACUAAGAACUAACAACAUAAUUGCAAGAAAACAAGCUAACUAAGUCACAUCAAUAUGCUCCUAUCAAAUUCCCCCACACUUAGCUUUUGCUAGUCCUCGAGCAAAACAAACAAAAUAAACAACACAUAACCUAGACCUUCCAACAAUUUCCUCAGGGAUUUUCAAUGAAACAUGACAUGCCAAAGAUCGCCACUCACAUAGAUUUAAGCAAUUCUUACCCUUAAGCAUACUUAAUCAUAGUCACCAUUCACUAGCUCACAUUUAAUCAAUCAAAACAACAUUUUUAAUGGAGUAACAUGCCUUAGGGAUUUCCCUUAAUUCCUUACUAGAUAUGCACUCAAUUUUCACUCAGAUUUUCAGACUGCACACCCUACACUAGGUAUAUGUGAGAAGAUUGAUGUAAACAUGAAAACUAGUACUCACAUAUGUUUUUCAACAAAGAAGCAAUGUCUGGAAUUAUUAAUGCAUGUAUAUAUAUGAUCUCAUGAAUAGAAUGCUACUACUUAGAAGCGAGAACCAGUGAUAUCAUAUGCUCAUACCAAUUUCAAACUCCACAUAUUGAAACACACAACACUCAAGAUGGAAGUCAAGGGUUGUAACGGGGUUAAGGGUGUUGGCUAACAAAGAAAGGUAAAGGAAAACGAAUGUUCUUAAAGCAAUAGUGAGCAAAGUAAUGAGUUAGGCAUUUAUAAUUCGCUUUAGAAUGCAAAAAUCUACUUUUAAACACAAGGGAAGAUUCAUGCAACACCUUAGGGUCAAAUUCAAAUGAUGUGAAAAUUACUUGACACACAAAUUAAACCCUAUUGAUGACAAUUGUAGCAAAGAUGUAAGUAGGGAUCGUUCUAAACCGGGGAUUAACUAGGGCUGCUAAUCUACUCAAAUUAAACUCUAAAACACUAAACUAGACUUAAAAACACAAGAAUAGACUCUAUAGACUCUAAACUGACCUAAGACACUCAAAUCUGCAAAACUAAGUGAAAUUGACUCAAUUCUAAACCUAACAAGUGAAUUGGACGAACUUAAAACUUACUUUGACUCAAAAGAUUAAAAGAAAACAGAUUGUAACUUAACUAACUCAGAAAACACUUAAAAGACUCAAAACAGCACAAUACUAACAAUUAGACUCAAAACAGAUUCUAGAGAUGAAAUUGGACGAAUUUAAGACCAAACUAAGACCCAAACAAUGGUUAUGGACUAAACCUAACCUAUAUUGACUCAAAACACUCUAAAGAACCUAAUUAGGACAGAUUCUGACCUAAUAACAUAAAACAGAAAAGGGGGUUUGAUUUCUGACGAAAUUGAAUUAAAACUAAACAAAUUUCAAGUCAAAGUAAACUAAAACGAAAUUAAGAUAAAUUCAAGGGUGAAAAGCUAGUUAGAGGAUCCUUCUCCACACAUGAACAUAUGCAACAUAAAUCGAUUUCCAGUAUUGUUUCUUUAAACCAUGAACAACAAUGCCCCAAAUUAAUCGUGAAUGCACAAAUUAACUCUCAGAUUUCCCUAAAUUCAUUGAAUUGGAUGAAUGCAUGCAACAACCCAAAUUAUUCUUCUCAAGUUCCCUAUAUGAACAGCAUGAUAGAGAUACAUUCAAAGAUCAUUAAAUUCCAUGGAAAUCAUAAGCAUUGACAAGGCAAUUAUAACUAUGAACUGCAUGAUACUUUUGCCAAGAAUCUACUUAACACGAUUGUGACUAACAAUCUCCACUACUUAUAAUUAUAAGUUUCAAACGAUUAGGUGAAAGUCCCUUAUAAUUUAGCAUCAGAUUCAAGCAUGCAAACUAAGUAGGCCUCCUUAAUCAACACACAAGAAUAAGUUAUCAAUCAAAUAGAUAAGUAAAUCGCAUUCAUGUUUUACGAAACAAUAACUGAAAGGAAUCAAUUCAUAUUAACAUAUGUCCAUGGCUUCAAAUUCACCACUAACUAAUAAGAGUUUAGUUCCACAUGUUCAUAGGAAAAGCAAAUUAAAAUAAACAUCGAAACUGAAAGGAGGGAAGAAAGAACUCUUAAAACUCCCAAGGAUGCAGAUGGCUUGCGCACAAGGCCCUCCUUCAUCAAUGGAAUGCACGACAAGGCUCUCCUUCUUCUCCAAAAGGUGCGGCAAAGAUGUAUAUGGAUGUAGGAUGGUGUUUUGUGAUGUAGAAUGGUGAUUAGGGUUGCGGCAAGGUGUUUUUGAAUGGUGUGAAGGGUGAUGACGAAUUUAUGGCUGAAAACUUGUAUUUAUAGGCUAGGGUUUUCACAAAAUCUGAUGGAGAUAAAAGGCUUGGCCCAUCCAAAGGAGAAAAUAACUAGGGUUUUAUGCAGAUUUUUAGGCUUCUAGAACAUUAGGUGCGGCACAAACCCUAGGACUUUUGCCUAAUCCUUUCAUCACCCACACCAUACUCUAACCCCAUCCUAGCUCAAUACAAGCCGUACCUUAUAGCUUGGGGAAUGCCAAUGUGAUGAAGUCCAAAGGUAAAUUGAUUGAUAGAGCAAGAUUGUGGCGUGUACCAAAGGCACCUAUGUGAAGUGUGGUUCUAAAAAAAUUUGGGAGACUUAAAGAAAAGAAAAGAAAAGAAAAAAAAAAAGAGAAGAGAAUCAAGUGAAAACAAAUUCCAAAUCUCCUUAUUAUAAGACAUAGGGCUUGGACACCAAAAAUCAAGAAGAAAGAAGAUAAAUUCAAGUAAAAAGCUGGACCUCAAGGACACUUUGGUAUGCCCCAAGCUCUAGUAUUCCAUAUCACUUCUUUCAUAACCUAUAACCUAAGCCUUACAUUACAAUCUUGAGAAAGACCUAGUUGAUCAUUGAGGAUGUAUUCAUGAGUGAUGGUAAGUGUGUGUGUUAUCUAUAUUCUUAGCAUUUGAUUCAUUUCAUGAGAUCUACUCAGAAUUGUGCUUUCAUUUCAAGUUCAUAUGUGAGAAUUUUGAUUUCCUUUACAUAACUUCACUCACAUAUGUUAGUGGAGAGACUAAACCUUAGGAUCUGAGUGAGAACUUGAGUGAAAACCGUGAGGAAUAGAGUUGAGGCGAAUUCAUUCUUAAGCAUUUGGGUAUGGUGACCUUGAAGUUGUAAGACAUGGUGAAAUAUCUUUAUACAUUACAAUUGAUAUGAUUCUUUGGAAUGGCAAGGCUUUUGAGUUUGAGUGUAAAACAAAGUUUCAUGGGUUUUGAUUAGUUUGUUUAAAGCAUGUUAAACCAAAUUGUGUGCAGAUUUUGUAGAUGUUUGAGGGUGUCAUCUUUGUAAACCCUCAGGAGACACAACUCCUCCAACUAGGGACACCUAGGGGUUCAAAGGCUUGUUGCACAUGCUCAGUGCAAUCGUUUGGCCAGCGAAAGUGGUGUAGUUAGUUGUUAGUGUUUGUUAGAUGUUAGUGUUUUGUGUGUUUUAAUUCUAAGUUUGCUCGUGGACUAGCAAAAACCAGGUUUGGGGGUAUUUGUUAGUUCACAUUUCAUAUGCAUUUUAUAGCAUUCAUAUUUUGUGUCUUUGUGAUGUUUUUUGAUCAAACUUGUUGCAUUUUACAUUAUUUGGUGUUAGUGUGUAGUUAAGUUUGUUUUAGGAUCAAUUGGAAGGCAAUGAAGCAAAAACACCACAUUUUGUGACCGAGAGCUAGUUCAAGCAUGGAGAACAUCUUGUGAGUUAACUUGAAGUCCAAGUGAAGAAUUGAGGACAAGUUGGUUGCUAGAAUUUCAGGAAUUGACAAAGGGUGCAAUUCGGCCAGAUUGGGUGAUUUUAUGCAUGGCACAUGCAUUGGAUUCAGAUUGGGAGGUUUAACACACCUUGCCAUGCAUUUGGUUACCCUUUCAACCCCCUUUCUUCACCUAGAACAUUCACCCCCCAUUAGUUACACCAUUCAGCCACAUUUCACCCACUAAUUCACCCAUGCCGUGCAUUGUUAAUCCUUGACAGCCUGUCCUUGCAGAUUUCACAUGCUCCUCCAUUUAAAUGACCACAUGCUUGCCCAUUCAACCCCAUGCCGUGCACUAUCCAUUUCAGAAAGGAAUUACCCCAUCAUUACACACACUAGCACUCCAUAUUUUACAAUUGUUAAGAUCCAAUCUUGGAUCUGAAUCCAAAAGCUAUUCCAUCCAUUCCCUUUAAGUGAGCUCCUUCAAGAAAUCUGAAACUCUCGGAAUUCCAUCUUCAAUUAGACACCAACUCUACAUUCCAUUAUAUACACUACAUUCCAUAACCUACAUUCUAUCUAUCCCACUCCAGAUUCGACAUUCCUUACACAUUCAUUCUAUUCUUCUUACACACAAACUCUCCAUUUUCUGUCCAUCCUCUUCACCAUAUUACACCAACCAUUUCACCACAACCGUACCACCUUCAUUUAUACAUCAUUCUUGGAGGAGUUACACCACACUUGGAGAGCUAGCACCGAAGGCCAUUCUCAAGUGAUCUUCGAUUCCAGUUUUGCUUCAAGGGGUUUUUCUUCUCAAUUUUAUGUACACUCAUGUGUUAUAUUUAUAUGUCAAAUCUUUGUAAACAUGAAGUGUAACUAAUCUCUCUAUAGGGAUUCGAUGUAGCCUAGAAAGAUUGCCAUGUAGUUAAUUUGGAAUGCUCAGUUUAUCAUUCUAUUUCUUGUUUCAUUCUCUAAUUUAAUUGUGACUUUGUGUGUUGAUUUUAAUGCUUGAUCACCAUUUGAAUUAACCAUAAGUUGGUUUAGCCAAUCUUAGAGCACACAUCAUGCAUAACCUUGGCAGAUAUGGGAAUGAUUGAAGGGAAUGUUUGGCAAACAUCAUGCCAAGUGUUUCCUUUGGUUUUGUGAAAGUUUCUUAUGCUUAAUACAUUCUUGUUUAGGAACCAAAGUUGCACAUCACAAUUAGGUUCAUGACUAGGAAUAUUUGAUCAAAACCACACAUCAUAUGGAUGAUCAUAUCUAAGUGAAACAAACUCAAGAAAUAGAUAGAUUGAUGAGCAUAAUCUGAAUUAACAAUAUGGAAUUGAUUAGAAAAGGUGAAAUCGAAUCCCUAGCCUUCUCCAUAUUGUUACAUUCCCUAACCUCAACUCCCUUGGUUCUACCUCAUUACAUUACUUGUGAUUCAUUUACUUGUAUUCAUUUCAUUUCCGUGUAUUCAAGUUACAACCUCAAAACUGCCUAAAUUGUUUAGUUCUACUUUCUGUUAGGGUUCUUGCAAAACAAGUGGUUAUAUAGGUCUAAUUAGUCCCUGUGGAUUCGACACCCUUACUUGUGUUCUUAUACUCAACAUGUUUGUAGCACUAGGAAGGAAUAAUCUCAUCAAGCCUCCUUUGAUCUUCAAUUUCGUCCAUUUCUUUUGUUCCAAACAUGCGCCAUUCAAUCCAAGCUUCAUUUUGCUCCAAAAAGCUCCAAAAUGCAUCUUUUUGUGUAAUAUGCCCUUAAAACCUGAAAACACAUGAAACUAGCUUAAAAGACUACUUUAACUUAGAAAACAUAGUAAAAAUGCAUAAGAACUAGCUAACUAAGGUGCAUAAAUAUGCUCCUAUCAUCAAACUUUUGGACCCUUUCUUCAACAAUCAACACUUGUGAGUUCAUUCUCACUUAUUGUCAACUCUUUUUCUUUCUUUUAUUUCAUACCCGUGCCUUUCCUUUCUUUUAUUUCAUACCCAUGCCUUUCCUUUCUUUUGGCACACUAACCAUACAUAUUUCUCAUGAAACACCUUUCCCCCACAUUGAUUACUGCAAUAAUGUUACCCAAAAGGAAUUCUUUCUAAGUCAUGCUCCACUAUACUUCAAGAACAAGGGUAUAGAAAGUCCUAUUCUAGGCUAGGUAGGGAUAAUGUGGUUAACAAAGAAAAUAGGCUAAACAAGGCUCAAUCUACAAAACAAAUGACAAGGGUGGAUUCGGCUAUUUGGCUUUGGUUCACUAAACAACUUCAUCUUGAAUAUGUGUUACGCAAAUCAAUGUCAUGCUUUGAAUGGAACGAGCAUGAGUUCUAGUAUUUUGAUCUAUAAUGAUGAACGCAUUCUAAGUAGCAACCAAGCAAAGAAUAAUGAGAUCAUGCAACGACUUUAGAAAACAAGAAUGCACAGAUUAAUAACUCUCCAAAUAAACGUUUAGGCUCAAGUCUCUCAGGGAUGUAGCGUUUGUUUGAGUUCCUUCCUUCAAGCAUGUUACAAAAACUUAUUUUAUCCUUUGUGAUUACAUGUGAAUUCGUAAACUAUAACUACAACCAAGCAUAAACCAAAGAGCAUAUCAAACUUCCAUCCAUGUUUGUAACUUUCUUUAACAGUCAUGCACUUAAAAACUAAAUUCUCAUCAUUGCAUUGGAAGGUACCCUAAGACACAAACAAUCACACAAAAUAACUCUUUUUGGCUUUUUCAAAACACUUUUUUCAGAAUUUUUUUUCUUUCAAAUUUUCGGAUUUUUACUUCAACACACACCAAAACAGCUCAAAAUGCACUAAAAACACUUAAAAACAGUGAGAAACAACAUUGUAAGUGAUAGGUGAUAGAGUCCCACGAAAUUGAAUAAAAACAUUUGUUUACCCCCCACACUGAAAUCAAACAUUGUCCUCAAUGUUGCAAGCAUAAACUCACUGAUGUGAAAAUUAUGUUGACACACAAAUUAACCCUCUUUUUAUCGAUUGUAGUAAGUAUGUAAGUAGGGAUCGUUCUAGGCUGGGGAUUAGGAGGGAUUGCUAAAUCACUUGAAAACUGACUCAAAUACGUAAAAACAAGUUUAAAACACUAAACUAGACUCAAACAAUGCAAAACUAAACUUUAAAACACCAAAACAAACAAAAAGACUUAAAACAGCAAACAAACACUCAAAACUGCCUUAAAACACUUUCUGGGCAGUUUCUGACACUCAGGAAGAAUUUGGACGAAAAUUGAUUAUAACUUGACUCAAGACACUUAAAAACACAAACUAAAUUGAUUUCUAACUAGUAUGACUCAACAAAGAAAAGGGGGAUUGAUUUUGGACGAAUUUAAAAACAAAACAAAACUUUGUAAACUAAAACAGAUUUUAAAAACGAAUUUGGAUGAUUUGAAUGGAUGGAAGGCUAGCUAAGGGGGUUCAUCUCCACACAUGUCACACUUGCAUAUAAAACGAUUUCCAAUUGCUUUUCAAUAAACCAUGAAUUCUCAACGCCCCAAGUUAAUUAGGUCCGCUUAAAUUAACCCUCAGAUUUUCCUUAAGUUAUUGAAUUGGAUGAAUUGCAUACGACAACCCAAAGCAUUCCCCACAAGUCCCCUACAUGAUUGCAUAAUAGAGAUACAAGCAAGAAUCAUUAAGUUCUAUGAAAACCAUAAGCAUUGACGAAGUACUUGUUACUAUGAUUGCAUGAAACUUAUGCCAAGAAUUUACUUAACACGAUUGUGAUCAACAACCUUUACUACUUGUGAAUAUAAGUUCAUAACGAUUAGGUGAAAUUCCCUUAUAUCCUAGCAUCAAAUUCAUGCAUGCAAACUAAGUGUCGACCCUCAAUCAACAUACAAGAAUAAGUUUUAAUUCACAUAGAUAAGCAAAUUGAACUCACAACUUAUGAAACGCAAUUAGAAGUAAUCAAAUCAUAUAGUAAGCAUAAACAUGGUUUCGAAUCCCCCCUAGCCAAGGGGGGUUUAGUUCCUCAUACUCGCAAAUAAACAAAGAUAAAUAAAUUUAAACAUUAAAACAAAGAUAGAAAACACCUAGAAACGCUCCACAAUCCAAGCUCCUUGAAUGGCAUGCACGGCUCCAAGAGUUCUUCCUUCUUCUCCUUUGCAAACUCACGGCACAAGAGGUAUAUUUGGGUGAAUGCUGUAGUGAAAAUAUGGUAGAGGAUGGUGACUAAAUGGUGCAGCAAAGGAUGGUAUUUAUAGGCUGAGAUUCGCAGCCCCUAUGUAGCAAAGGAAAAGGAUUUAAAGGCCUAAUUUGUAUAGGAUAAUAACACACAAUCCUUGAAGGAAAAGGCUAAGUCUUUUAGGAACCAAGGGGGAAAGGCAUAAUCAGGUUUCUAGAAGUUCCAGAAAGGUUUAGGGCGCCAGAUUUUUAGGAGAGUAGAUAAGGCCUUCUAGAAAGCUUGUUUUGUGGCUGAUUUCCUAGAAGAACAAGGGAUAAGGUGUGGCACCUUUGUAGGAAGGGAUAAGGCUUCUAGAAAUCCCAUUUUAAGCAUCCUAAUCUAAUUAGAAACCCUCCUAAGUGGCUGAAAUGUGGAUAGUUUAGGAUAAGGAUAAGAUAGGAUAGGAUAAGAUUUGAUUGGAUAAGAUAAGCUAAGAUAAGGUUAUGGAUGAGGUUUUGGAUAAGAUUCCUUAUCUUGAGCUGAUUCUUUGACUUUACUCUUCUUCUUCACAUAGGAAACCUUGCUUGAGUAGGAAACUUUAUUCGUCUAGGAAUCCAUCUUCAAUUAGGACUCCUACAUUGAUUAGGAAUCCUUCUUCAUUUAGGAAUUCUUCGUUUAAGCCCUUUCCUACUUCAACUAGGAAACUUUGUAUCUUCAAUUCUUCAACUUUGAAAAGCCUUUCUAGCUUCAUCAAUCCCUCAAAUUCGUCCAUCCCUUGUGCCUCAUGUGCAUGAACUCCAUUUUAGCCCAAUUUUGCUCCAAAAUGCUCCAAAUUGCAUCCUUUUGCUCACUUUGUCUCUAAAACCUGAAAACACAUAAAAAUAGCUUAAAAGACUAACUUAACUAAGAAAACAGAACAUAAAUGCAUAAGAACUAACUAACUAAGGCGCAUAAAUAUGCUCCUAUCACUCACACAAAAGGAAACAAACAAACAACAAAUUAAAUACACUAAACAUUGCAGAAUAGAAACAACAAAGAAAAGGGUUUAGGAACGCAAAUCUGGAAGUGGAGUGCUUCCUAGGGCUUCCUUUGUUGAAUGCAUGGGUUGCCUCCCAAUAAGCGCUUGCUUUAACGUCUUGCAGCCGAAUGAAGAAUUCCAUUCACUCCCCAUUGGAACCCACGGCCUGAAGAGGGAUCUCCUCCACGACAUGCUCAACAAAGCUCUGAUAGUAUGGCUUCAAACGAUGCCCAUUCACCUUGAAUUCUUGCCCAGUUUUCAAGCUUUUGAUUUGGACUGCACCAUGAACAAGCUAACUAAGUCGCAUAAAUAUGCUCCUAUCAAAUUCCCCCACACUUAGCUUUUGCUAGUCCUCGAGCAAAACAAAACAAACAAAACAAAAUAUAACAUAACCUAAACCUUGACACACAAAUUAAACCCUCUUUUUGUCAAAUUGUAGCAAAGAUGUAAGUAGGGAUCGUUCUAGACCGGGGAUUAGGAGGGAUUGCUAAACGCUUGGAAACUGACUUAAACACUCAAAAACAAAGUUAAAAACACUAAACUAGACUCAAAGAAUGCAAAACUAAAAGUUAAAACACUUAAACAAACCUAAAAACCAAAACAGCAACUAGAAGGCUCAAAACUGCCUAAAAACCACUUUCUGGGCAGUUUUGAGCACCUACACUAAUUUGGACGAAAUUUGAUGAAAACUUGAAUCAAAAUACUUAGAAACACAAAUCAAAAAACACUUUCUAACUAAUCUAAGACUUCAAAUUAAAGGGGGAUUUUGUUUUGACGAAAAUUAAACUAAAGAAAACAGAUUGGAAAUAGGGCAGAUUGUAAAAACGAUUUUGGUGAAAUAGAUGGUUAAAAGGCUAGUUAGGAGGUUCUUCUCCACACAUGUCACACUUGCAAACAAAACGAUUUUCAGUUGUUCUUCCGAUAAACUAUGAAUACUCAACGCCCCAAGUUAACCGUGAAUUGCACUAAUUAACCCUCAGUUUUUCCACAAGUUAUUAAGUUGGAUGAUUGCAUACGACAACCCAAAACAUUCCCUACAAGUUCCCUACAUGAAUUGCAUAAUAGAGAUACAAGCAAGAAUCAUUACGUUCUAUGAAAAACAUAAGCAUUGACGAAGCAUUUGUUACUAUGAAUUGCAUGAAACUUAUGCUAAGAAUUCAUUCAACGCGAUCGUUUUCAAGCGAUCUUCACUACUUGUGAUUAUAAGAUUGUAACUAUUAGGUGAAACUCCCUCAUAAUCUAGCAUCAUAUUCAUGCAUGAAAACUAAGCGUGCACUCUCAAUCAACAUAUACACAAAUAAGUUAUCAAUCAAAUAGAUGAACGAAUUGAAUCCAUAACUUAUGAAAUAACAACUGAAUGUAAUCGAAUCAAAUUGCAAGCAUGUACAUGGUUUCGAAUCACCCCCCAACUAAGGGGGUUUUAGUUCCUCAUACUCACAACACACAAAGUUUAUUGAAUUGAAACAUCGAAGACAUAAGAAAGAUUACACCUAAAAUGCCAAAGAAUUCCACUUUGAAUUCUGCACAGCAAGCUCCUCUUUCUUCUUCUCCUUGCUGCGGCAGAGAGGGUUUAGGGGAUUUUUGGGUAGUUUUGGAUGAUUUUGGACGAGGGAGAAUGGUGGAAAAAAUGUCUAGGAUGGGUGUAGGGCACGGCUAGGAAGGUUUGGGGUCAGAAAAUAUGGAGUUGGGUGAAGGUUGGGCUCGGCAAAGGUGAGGGACAGGUUCUGGCGUGAAUGGAGUUUUCUGGAUGUGUUUUUGGGUUUUUGAAGGUAGAUAGGAUAGUAUGGUGGUGCGGCAAGGUGUGGGAAUGGUUUAUGGAGGUGGAGAAUGGUGUAUGGAUGUGUGGAAUGGUGCUGGAAUGGAUGGAAGCUGCGGCAAAAGGUGGGAAAGGUUGCUGGAAUGGGUGGUGGCUGCGACAAGGAGGGGAUUAGGGUGAUGGUGAUUUUCUGAUUUGUGUAGAGGGAAUGAUGAUGUGCGGCUAGGGUUUAGAAAUAUAUAUAUAGGCAUUUAAAAACCCUAGCAAAUCAGAUUAGGGCCUCUAAAACACAAAUCCAUCAGAAAUUAGGUUGAAACAAUUAGACAUUUAGUGGGAAAAAGGGCCUAGGGUGCGGCUGGUAUGUGGGCUAAGGUUAGGGUUUCUAGAAACCCUAACAAGGCAAGGCAAAGUGAUUCUAGAGGGCCCAGGUGCGGCAUAGGAUGAAGGUCCAUAAGGAAUUUGGGUUUAGGUCAUCUAAAAGCCCAAAGCCAAGAAUAGAAACUCACGAAAAUGGAAACCUCCAAGAAUAGAAACUUCCAACUUUUAGAAACUUUGGUUGCCAAUUCCGGUUUAGGAAAGAUCAACCCAAAAUGGAAACUUUUAGGCUUAGCUUUCCUACAUCAAGUAGGAAACCUCAAAUCUUCAACUCUUCAAUUCCAUCCCAACCUUGUGUAGCAUGUCCUUUUCAAUCCGAGCUCACUUUCUUGCUCCAAAAGCUCCAACUUGCAUCAUUUCAUGUAAUACGUCCUUUAACCUGAAAACACAUGAAAGUAGCUUAAAAGACUACUUUAACGAAGAAAACAUAACAAAAAUGCAUAAGAACUAGCUAACUAAGGCGCAUAAAUAUGCUCCUAUCAAAUUCCCCCACACUUAGCUUUUGCUAGUCCUCGAGCAAAACAAACAAAAGAAAGAAAACAAAACGAAACAAACUAACCAAAACAAAACCUAAACCUUCCAACGUUUGCCUCAGGGAUUUCCAAUGCACAUGACAUGUUAAAGGUUGUUAUCCCCACAAAUUUGAGUCAUCUUUACACAAGCACAUACUUAAUUAAAGCCACUACUCACUAGUUCACAAGUAAUCAAUUAAAACAAUGCUUUGAAUGUAGUAACAUGCCUUAGAAAGUUCCCUCAAUUCCUUACAAGAUAUACACUCUAUUUUCACUCAGAUUUUCUAACUCCACACCCUACACUAGUCAUAUGUGAGAAGAUUGAUGUAAAUAUGGAAACGAAUGCUCACAUAUAUGUAUCACAAAGAACGCAAUUUCUAGAGUUAAGAAGCAUGUUUAGAUAUGAUCUCAUGAAUGGAAUGCUACUACUUAGAUGCGAGAACCAGUGACACCAUAUGCUCAUACCAAAUUCAAACUCCACAAAUUGAAACACAUAACACUCAAGAUAGAAGUUAAGGGUUGUAAUGGGGCUUGGGGUGUUGGUUAACAAGGAAAGGAUAGGGAAAACAAACGUUCUUCAAGCAAUAGUAAGCACAGCAAUGAAAUUGAGACUUAGAAUUCACUUAGAUUGCAGAAAUUAACUUUAAAACACAAGGGGGAGACUUAAACAACUCCUUAGGGUCAAAUUCAUUGUUUUGGACCCUUACUUCAACAAACAAUACUUUGGAACUCUUUUUCUCAACUUUUCAACUUUUUUUUCAUUCUUCUCGUAUUUUUUUUUUCUUCAAUUUUUCUUUUCUUUGCCGUGCCUAUGGCACACAAUUCCUCAUGAAAAACACUUCCCCCACACUUAUUUUCUGCUAACAUAGAUCACAAGGAAUUCAAUUCGAAUCAUGCUUUACUAUGCUUUAAGAACAAGGGUAUGGAUAGUCCUAAUCUAAGGCUAGGUGAGGGUAAUGUGGGUUAACAAAGAAAAGGCUAAACAAGGCUCAACGGGGUUAAACUUAAACAUAUAAUGGAGUAGGGCACACGGCUUUUUGGCUAAGGUGGUGGUCACUACACAACUUCAUCUUGAAUAUGUGUUAUGCAAUUCAAUGACAUGCUUUGAAUGAAAUGGGCAUGAGUUCUAGCAUUUGGAACUAAAUGAUGAAACGCCUUCUAAGUAGUAACCAAGCAAAGAAUAAUGAGAUCAUGCAACGACUUAGAAAACAAAGAAUGCACAGAUUUUAACUCUCCAAAUAAACGUUUAGGCUCAAGUCUCACAAGGUUGUAGCGUUAGUUUGAGUUCCUUCCUUCAAGCAUGUUACAAAAACUGAUUUUUUUCUUUUAUGAUUGCAUGUGAAUUCAUAAGUUAUAACCACAACUAAGCAUACACAAAGAGUAAAUCAAACUUUCAUCCAUGUUAAUCACUCUCUUUAACAGCCAUGUAAUUACAAACCGAAUCCUCAUCAUUGUGUUGGAAGGUACCCUAAGACACAAACAAACACACAAAAACAACUCUUUUUGGGUUUUUAAAACAAAUUUUUCAAAUUUUUAUGUAAUUUUCGGAUUUUUACUUCAAAACACAUUAAAACACAUCAAAACUGCUCAAAAACACUUAAAAACAGCAAGGAACAAGUCUUCAAGUUUAGGGUGAUAAAAUCCCACGAAUUUGCAUCUAAAACACUUAGUUACCCCCCCACACUUAAAUCAAACAUUGUCCUCAAUGUUUCAAGCAUAAAAUCACACUAAAAAAAAAGAAACACACAAACAGCAACUAAAACAACUAAAUAGGCAGAUUCGAAAUAAAUAACAAAGGGAAGAGUUUAGGAACGCAAAUCUGGAAUUGGAGUGAUUCCUUGGUCUUCCUUUGUUGAAUUGCAUGGGUUGCCUCCCAAGUAGCGCUUUCUUUUACGUCUUGCAGCCGGACGAAAAACACAAUCAUGCCCUAUUGGAGCCCACGGCACUCUCAUACAUUGCAUCUUUGAACGGUAAUGGAUAGUGAUGUUCGUUGAUGGGUGCGUUGUGUUGCCUAAGGUUCACGUACAUGCGCCCACCAUCGGGGAUUUGCUUGGGUACCUGCACCAUAGAAGGGAACCACCUCUUAAUUUUAAUGGGAAUUGGAUUUGGACUAGGUGCCUUACCUUGGUGUUGUGAUGAAGUGGCAGCAACAUGAACUGUUUUCCUCAUGGUAUUCUCGGCCACAUGGGGUAUCUUAAGGGCAGUGGCCGUGGGGUCCUCAUGCUCCACUCCAAUUCCCUCAUCUUGCAUGGUUCUUGAAGCAACCUUUGUGUUAGGGGCUGAAUGAUCCGUCCCUAUCUUUUCUAUCGUAUCAAUAACACAACAAGAACGAACAACGUUAGGAGUCUCAAUGGAUUCAGGAAUUUUAAAACAAAUCAUAUCACCACCAAAUGCCAUAGUUACUUCUCCUUUGGCUACAUCAAUCUUGGUUUGAGCCGUUUUCAUGAAAGGCCGUCCAAGGAGAAUGGGCAAUGAAGGAGCAUGGUCCGAUUCAUCCAUUUCGAGGACAUAGAAAUCCGCCGGGAAGACUAAAUGAUUAACCUGCACAAGAACAUCUUCCAAAACUCCCUUUGGAUAGGCGUUAGAUCUAUCAGCCAAUUGUAUUAUUACACCAUCCUGUUUAAGUGCUCCUAGAUUCAUAGAUGCAUAAACAGAAUAUGGCAUAACAUUAAUAGAUGCUCCUAAAUCUAGCAUGGCAGAUUUGAAACGGGUAUUACCAAUGACACAUGGAAUUGUAAAGCUCCCCGGAUCUUUGCAUUUGGGGGGUAGUUUACGUUGCAAGAUGGCGGAGACAUUCUCGCUUACAUGUACCACUUCUUUCUCCCGGGCACGUUUCUUUGUCGCAC
Molecule: long non-coding RNA, 44792 nt
Filed under: Malus domestica (apple)
Lineage: Eukaryota; Viridiplantae; Streptophyta; Magnoliopsida; Rosales; Rosaceae
Description: long non-coding RNA (MDOM_LNC021178)
Source: RNAcentral